GACGAACGCUGGCGGCGUGCCUAAUACAUGCAAGUGGGACGCAAGGAAACACACUGUGCUUGCACACCGUGUUUUCUUGAGUCGCGAACGGGUGAGUAACGCGUAGGUAACCUGCCUAUUAGCGGGGGAUAACUAUUGGAAACGAUAGCUAAUACCGCAUGAUAUUAAUUAUUGCAUGAUAAUUGAUUGAAAGAUGCAAGCGCAUCACUAGUAGAUGGACCUGCGUUGUAUUAGCUAGUUGGUAAGGUAAGAGCUUACCAAGGCGACGAUACAUAGCCGACCGGAGAGGGUGAUCGGCCACCCUGGGACGGUGACACGGCCCAGACGCCUACGGGAGGCAGCAGUAGGGAAUCUUCGGCCAUGGACGAAAGUCUGACCGCGCAACGCGGCGGGAGUGAAGAAGGUUUUCGGAUCGUGAAGCUCGGUUGUAAGUCAAGAACGUGUGUGAGAGUGGAAAGUUCACACAGUGACGGUAGCUUACCAGAAAGGGACGGCUAACUACGUG
RNAcentral lists this ribosomal RNA (505 nucleotides) under uncultured bacterium. Its description in RNAcentral is "partial 16S ribosomal RNA". It matches the Rfam family "Bacterial small subunit ribosomal RNA", at positions 28 to 507 of the family's 1533-position model. The record is from RNAcentral.